This 486-nucleotide ribosomal RNA is filed under the name uncultured bacterium. RNAcentral describes it as "partial 16S ribosomal RNA". It matches the Rfam family "Bacterial small subunit ribosomal RNA", at positions 30 to 507 of the family's 1533-position model. The record is from RNAcentral.
AUUGAACGCUGGCGACAUGCCUUACACAUGCAAGUCGAACGGCAGCACGGGUGCUUGCACCUGGUGGCGAGUGGCGAACGGGUGAGUAAUACAUCGGAACAUGUCCUGUAGUGGGGGAUAGCCCGGCGAAAGCCGGAUUAAUACCGCAUACGAUCUACGGAUGAAAGCGGGGGACCUUCGGGCCUCGCGCUAUAGGGUUGGCCGAUGGCUGAUUAGGUAGUUGGUGGGGUAAAGGCCUACCAAGGCGACGAUCAGUAGCUGGUCUGAGAGGACGACCAGCCACACUGGGACUGAGACACGGCCCAGACUCCUACGGGAGGCAGCAGUGGGGAAUUUUGGACAAUGGGCGAAAGCCUGAUCCAGCAAUGCCGCGUGUGUGAAGAAGGCCUUCGGGUUGUAAAGCACUUUUGUCCGGAAAGAAAUCCUUGGCCCUAAUACGGUCGGGGGAUGACGGUACCGGAAGAAUAAGCACCGGCUAACUACGUG